RNAcentral lists this ribosomal RNA (512 nucleotides) under uncultured bacterium. Its description in RNAcentral is "partial 16S ribosomal RNA". It matches the Rfam family "Bacterial small subunit ribosomal RNA", at positions 28 to 523 of the family's 1533-position model. The record is from RNAcentral.
GACGAACGCUGGCGGCGUGCCUAAUACAUGCAAGUCGAGCGAACCAAUAGGAGCUUGUUCCUGUUGGUUAGCGGCGGACGGGUGAGUAACACGUGGGCAACCUGCCUGUAAGACUGGGAUAACACCGGGAAACCGGUGCUAAUACCGGAUAAUCUUUUUCCUCUCAUGAGGAAAAACUGAAAGUCGGUUUCGGCUGACACUUACAGAUGGGCCCGCGGCGCAUUAGCUAGUUGGUGAGGUAACGGCUCACCAAGGCGACGAUGCGUAGCCGACCUGAGAGGGUGAUCGGCCACACUGGGACUGAGACACGGCCCAGACUCCUACGGGAGGCAGCAGUAGGGAAUCUUCCACAAUGGACGAAAGUCUGAUGGAGCAACGCCGCGUGAGCGAUGAAGGCCUUCGGGUCGUAAAGCUCUGUUGUUAGGGAAGAACAAGUACCGGAGUAACUGCCGGUGCCUUGACGGUACCUAACCAGAAAGCCACGGCUAACUACGUGCCAGCCGCCGCAGUAA